Molecule: non-coding RNA, 48 nt
Organism: Schistosoma haematobium
Lineage: Eukaryota; Metazoa; Platyhelminthes; Trematoda; Strigeidida; Schistosomatidae
Source: Rfam
AUCCAGCUGACGAGUCCCAAAUGGGACGAAAAGCACGCCAAACUGGAU